Molecule: transfer RNA, 71 nt
Filed under: Procavia capensis (Cape rock hyrax)
Lineage: Eukaryota; Metazoa; Chordata; Mammalia; Hyracoidea; Procaviidae
Description: tRNA-Arg (TCT) (tRNA-Arg-TCT-7-1)
Rfam family: tRNA
About the family: Transfer RNA (tRNA) molecules are approximately 80 nucleotides in length. Their secondary structure includes four short double-helical elements and three loops (D, anti-codon, and T loops).
Source: RNAcentral
GUAUUGGUGAUUCAGUGGUAGAAUACUCACCUUCUGUGUGGGAGAUCUGGGUUCAGUUCCCAGCCAAUGCA